UUUAGAUAGUGCAACUAUUUUCUUGUUGUCAAACCCCUCAAUUAGACCUGUAAAAAAUAGUUAAACACAACAUUAUUCUUGAUUUCUAAUUAUCCAUCAAUUUGUUGCUGUUCAAGAUGCAUUCGCCAUUAAAUGGGGGUGAUCGACAAAGGCUUAAAUCUGCACACUUUUUAGUUAGUUUGUUUUGAUACUUCAGUCAGAUGGCCGUCUUACACAUCCAGACUCUGAUAUUUCUUUAAUUAUUUACAGAUGAAGUAUUUAACUUGACGCACGUAACAAAGGGGCCUUUGGAGUGACUGCGGACCCGCUUUGAACCGGCCGCAUCUAACAGAGUUGGAUCACCUUUGCUGAUUUAUUGCACCAGCUCCCCAGCCUCAGAAAAUACUCUUUCACAUGGUUCAGAUGACGAUAGUGAGCAGAGUUUUAAAUGAAAGCGCUUUUUGUUAUUCAUUUUUGUGCUCUCUGGUACCUGUUUUGACCAGCGCUUUCUGUUACU
This is a long non-coding RNA of Hippocampus zosterae (dwarf seahorse), 496 nucleotides long. RefSeq lists it as uncharacterized. Lineage: Eukaryota; Metazoa; Chordata; Actinopteri; Syngnathiformes; Syngnathidae. The transcript has 3 exons. The record is from RefSeq and is a predicted model, not a curated record.